GGGGAAUCUUGGACAAUGGGCGCAAGCCUGAUCCAGCCAUGCCGCGUGAGUGACGAAGGCCUUAGGGUUGUAAAGCUCUUUUGGCGGGGACGAUAAUGACGGUACCCGCAGAAUAAGCCCCGGCUAACUUCGUGCCAGCAGCCGCGGUAAUACGAAGGGGGCUAGCGUUGUUCGGAAUUACUGGGCGUAAAGCGCACGUAGGCGGCUUUGUAAGUCAGGGGUGAAAUCCCGGGGCUCAACCUCGGAACUGCCUUUGAUACUGCGGAGCUCGAGUCCGAUAGAGGUGAGUGGAAUUCCUAGUGUAGAGGUGAAAUUCGUAGAUAUUAGGAAGAACACCAGUGGCGAAGGCGGCUCACUGGAUCGGUACUGACGCUGAGGUGCGAAAGCGUGGGGAGCAAAC
This 400-nucleotide ribosomal RNA is filed under the name uncultured bacterium. RNAcentral's name for it is "bacterial SSU rRNA". It matches the Rfam family "Bacterial small subunit ribosomal RNA", at positions 356 to 773 of the family's 1533-position model. The record is from RNAcentral.